AUGUAAGGAAGAAUGUAUUUGUGAGAACUGUCAUAGCAUAACCGGAUUCUGUCCUCAACAGAUAGCAUCAAGGAUUUCUUUUGCCUCUAUAGCUAUUUUUCUAGCGGCUGGAAUUUUGUUUGUUACUGCAUUAGUGGUUUGUCUAUUUGUGAAGAGAUCUUCAAGGAAAAUGUCGUCGAAUUUAGAUAAUAAUUAUAUGCCCGAAAGUUCCACCCCUGUCGAUCUAGCGGUUCAAAGCUACGCAAGAGUUGAGGAAAACGUGUACCACGAA
Long non-coding RNA from Saccostrea cuccullata (small rock oyster), 271 nucleotides. RefSeq lists it as uncharacterized. The transcript has 3 exons. NCBI's taxonomy places the organism in Eukaryota, Metazoa, Mollusca, Bivalvia, Ostreida, Ostreidae. The record is from RefSeq and is a predicted model, not a curated record.